RNAcentral lists this ribosomal RNA (442 nucleotides) under uncultured bacterium. RNAcentral's name for it is "partial 16S ribosomal RNA". It matches the Rfam family "Bacterial small subunit ribosomal RNA", at positions 338 to 795 of the family's 1533-position model. The record is from RNAcentral.
CCUACGGGAGGCAGCAGUGGGGAAUAUUGGGCAAUGGGCGCAAGCCUGACCCAGCAACGCCGCGUGAAGGAAGAAGGCUUUCGGGUUGUAAACUUCUUUUAAGAGGGAAGAGCAGAAGACGGUACCUCUUGAAUAAGCCACGGCUAACUACGUGCCAGCAGCCGCGGUAAUACGUAGGUGGCAAGCGUUGUCCGGAUUUACUGGGUGUAAAGGGCGUGCAGCCGGGAAGACAAGUCAGAUGUGAAAUCCCGCGGCUCAACCGCGGAACUGCAGUUGAAACUGUUUUACUUGAGUACCGGAGAGGUCAGCGAAAUUCCUUGUGGAGGGGGGAAAUGCGUAGAGAGAAGGAAGAACAGAAGUGGCGAAGGCGGAGGACUGGACGGCAACUGACGGUGAGGGGCGAAAGCGUGGGGAGCAAACAGGAUGAGAUACCCGUGUAGUC